RNAcentral lists this long non-coding RNA (10775 nucleotides) under Nicotiana benthamiana. RNAcentral's name for it is "long non-coding RNA (NBEN_LNC017506)". The record is from RNAcentral. Lineage: Eukaryota; Viridiplantae; Streptophyta; Magnoliopsida; Solanales; Solanaceae.
AGUGGUAUAUACAUGUAAAAAUCUCUUUUUUUAAUUAUAUUUUUUAAAUUGUAGGAAAUAACAUGCACAUAACAAAAAUAUCAAUUACAUCAUACUUCCAUAAACAAAUAUACAAAUGUACAUGUAUAAAAAAAGGGUGUUACAUCCUACUGGUGAUUGUAUAACCAUGAUUCAUACAUGUCAUGGUGCUGUUUACACAAUAUUUUAGCAAAAAUAACUUUUUUCCUAGCUACACUGUAAGUGAUAAAGAAUACUUCAUAAAGUCUUCAAAACUAGCAUAUUACUUGUAUGUUCAACUCUUCAAACCCUGUAAAAAGUAAAAAGAAAUUUCCUUUUAGAAAAUUAUGAAAAUCAUAUUAAGUAUCUGAAAGAUAACAACAAUGAGAGAAAUACCUGAAUAUUGCAUACUUUCCUCUCUUUCAAAGCAUGUCAUUUUCAUAUACAGUCCAAUUGCACUUUUCAAAUACAAGAUUAGUGUAAAAAAAAAACUAUCCAUAUUUACGAAAUACAUUAUCCGAGUAACAAUACCAUCAAAAGUUAUAAGCCAGCACAUAUUGUAUACAAAGGUUUACUAAGCACAACCUCAUGGCCACUGAUAGUAACUAAACACACUCAAAACAACUCAAGGAAUGAUUUCUUCAUUUGCCAUUUCAAGAAUAUGAAUUUAGGAAACAGUAAAACUAUUGUUAACGUUAUAUGUGUCCAUACAUAUGUCUUUGUUCAAAUAAAAUAAUUAUUGUCUAUAGCUAACAUCACUCAUAACCUAAGAUCACCAAUAAAAGAUGUUCCUUAGGAAGUAUUUAUUAGAAAAGACCAAAGUAGAUGGUGAGAAUUACAGUAAGAACUUUUAUUUAAAUGCCAUACAUAUUGAUAGUCCCACCGAAGCUUGACGAAAAAAAGUCAUUGUGACGAUCCGACCCGUCGUCACGUGAGUUACCGCUCCAUUUUUCCCGUUUUAUGCUUCUAUAUCUUUCAUUAUAUGUGUUUGUAGAGUUUGAAGUGAUUCAGACACUUGGUUGGAAUUGAGAAAAUUAGUCUCUUUAAGAGAAGACUAGUUAGAAAAAGUUAACCGGAUAUUGACUUAUGAGUUAUAGGGCUCGAAAUAGAUUUCCGACAAUUUGGAUAGUUUCGAGUGGUGAUUUAUGACUUUGGAGUGAAAACAGACCUGAAUUUGGAGGUCCGAUGUAGAAUUAUGCUUGAAUUGGUUAAGUUUGAAUUUCGACGAAUUCCGGUUGAUAGGUGAGAUUUGCUCUGGGAGUCGGAAUGGAAUUCCGAGAGCUACUGUAGCGUCGUUAGGUGAUUUUGGAUAUGUCUGCAAAUUUUCAGGGUAUUCGGACGUCGUUUGGUCGGCUUUUUGAUCGAAUGUUAGUUUCGAAAGUUAUAGUUGAAACUUAGGCUUUAGUCCGUCGUGAAUUAAUAGUUUUUCUGUUGUUGGUCGUGUUUUUAUAAUUGAAACAAGUUCGUAUGAUGAUUUGGGGUAUGUUGGUGUUUUUGGUUGGGGUCCCGGGGGGCCUCGGGGUGAUUUUGGAUGAUUUUCGGGAAGUUUGGACUUAUGAAAAUCUGCAUAAAUUGCAGCAGCACUGCAACAGGUAUUUAGCCAUCGCGAUCGCGUGACUUGGGGUGUGAUCGCAUAGGGUUGGGUGCUGCAUGCCUUGCGUUCGCGUGAGUUGAGUCACGAUCGCGUAGGUGUGGCAUCUGAAGCAUGACGGUCGUGUGGAGCAGGUCGCGUUCACAUAGAAGAAUCUAGGGGCCCAACCAAGAUCUGUUCAUCGCGUUCGCGUGAGUUGAGUCACGAUCGCGUAGGUGUGGCAUCUGAAGUAUCACGGUCGUGUGGAGAAGGUCACGUUCACAUAGAAGAAUCUAGGGGCCCAACCAAGUUUGUUCAUCGCAUUCGCGGUCGUGGGGGUCGCGAUAGCGUAGUACGUGAAUUUAAGCAUCGCGAUCGAGUCUGGCGGUAUGCGAUCGCGUAGAAGGAAAUUUAGCUGGGCAGAGGGAUAUUACUGAAAAUUUCAGUCGCGAACCCAUCAUUAUUUUCUCUAUUGUUGCAUCAACUCGAGAGCUUGUUGGUUGAUUUUGAAGGGGAUUUUGACGGGAAGUGAUUGGAGGUAAGUCUUGUGGCCUAGAUACGUCAUUUAAUCGAAGAAUCAUCCAUUAAUUCUAUGAAAUUUGCGUAAAAUUGAAGAAGCUAGGGCUUGGUUUUUGAAAUAAAAAGUGGGGACUUGUUGGCCCAUUUGAACUCCGAUUUUGAUGAACUUUGUAUGUACGGAGCCGUGGCGAGACGAGGAUUCUGGUGAUGUGAAUUUUGUAAUUUUUCGAGAAUGAAAUUGAAGAAAUUAUGGCUUGGUUUUUACUAUGUUAAUUGGGGAUUUGGAGGCAUUUAAACUCCGAUUUUGAUGAACUUUAUAUGUGCGGACUCGUGGCGAGAUGAGGAUUCUGAUGAUUUGAAUUUCGUAAAUUUUCGAGAAGUGGGCCCGGGGCUCGGGUUUUUCCAACUUCGUAUUUUUGGGUGUUUUUCGAGUUCUUUCUAUUGGGUUAUAUCCCAUUAGCCUAUUAUAACAUAUUCCUUGUGGUUUUGGUCAGAUUCUGCAACCGAGGAGGUCGAUUUUUGAGGAAAGCACAAGGCGAGCUAGGAUUUUGGCUGGUUUAAGGUGAGUACUGGUUAUGGAUGAUGUACUGAGGGUUUGAAACCCCGUAUUUGCACUAUGCAGUACUAUGUUGAGAUGAGACACAUGUCUUGUGAUGAGCGUGGUGAUGUAUCUGCUGGGGACUCAGACUUGGUCCAUCCCGAUUGAUGNNNNNNNNNNNNNNNNNNNNNNNNNNNNNNNNNNNNNNNNNNNNNNNNNNNNNNNNNNNNNNNNNNNNNNNACUGUACGUCUCGACUGAGAUUGAGCUUGUACUCGUAUAAUUUGGGCUAGUUGCCAUGUUUGGGGCCUUGUGCCGAUCUGUAGAACUCCUAGGGAGCUUGUUCAUCUGAUUGACCUCACUUUAACUAUUGGACACGUACCAUCUGUCCUGACUUUUGACUGUAAAUCAUGAAAUAAAUCGGACUUUGUAACUUGCACCCUAAAUGAGCAAUACCUAGGGUUGAAUACCCUGUCUUAGCGGAGUGGGUCCAAGAGGCCAAGUCUAUAUUGACUGAGAGGGGUCAAGGGCCCCGUAGUGAGGCUAUUUGAUAUAUAUACAUCGGGUCGGGCUGCACACCGCAACAGUAUAUACAUAUACAUGUAUUGGAUUAGACUGCACGCCGCAGUAGAAUAUUAUAUGGAUCGGACUGCACGCCGCAGUAUUUCAGCGCUUGGGCUGAAGGAGCCCCUCCGGAGUCUGUAUACACCCCCAGUGAGCGCAGUCGACUAUAUUUAUUGGAACGGACUGCGUGUCGUAGCAUUUUAUAUAUUAUAUUUAAUCGGGCUGAGCGCCGCAACAUUAUAUAUAUGGUGUUGGAUCGGGCUGUGCGCCACAACAAUAUUAGUAACUGGUCGGACGGAAAAAAAAGUAUUUAUCAAAUUCUUUUCCCUGUUUGAUAUUUAUCUACUGUCUUUACUGUUGAAAAAUAGAACUGUAUAGUUUUUUUACCGGAGACGUCAAGAGCGCUUUCCUCAAUAGAUUUAUCGAAGAAGAAGUCUUUGUGAAACAACCCCCAGGGUUUGAGAACUCGAAAUACCCAUAUCAUGUGUACAAGCUUACUAAGGCCCUAUAUGGACUGAAGCAGGCUCCACGUGCUUGGUAUGAAAGGUUAAGUACAUUUCUUAUAGAACAUGGAUUCACCAGAGGUAAAAUUGAUACCAUGCUAUUUAUCAAAAGGUCAUCCGAAAGUAACCUUAUAAUUCAAAUUUAUGUUGAUGAUAUUAUCUUUGGUAGUGCUAACCUUCUUAUAUGUAAGGAAUUUGGAAAUCUCAUGCAAAGAUAAUUUGAAAUGAGCAUGAUGGGGGAAUUCACCUUCUUCCUUGGUCUUCAAAUUCAUCAAUCUGAAGAAGGAACCUUUAUCUGUCAAUCUAAAUAUACCAAGGAGAUGAUUCAAAAUUUUAGCAUGAGCAAUGCAAAAUCCAUUGGAACUCAUAUGAGUCCUGCUACAAACUUAGAUAAGGACGAACAGCGUACUCCAGUUGAUGAAACCAAAUACAUAGGAAUGAUUGGAUCACUUCUAUAUAUGACCACAAGUCGACCAGAUAUUAUGUUUAGCAUAUGCAAAAGUGCUAGGUUCCAGUCAUCUCCUAAGGAGUCGCAUCUAACUGCUGUAAAAAGAAUUAUUCGAUACCUUAUCGGGACAAUAUCUUAUGGUUUAUGGUAUCCUCGAUCUAACUAUUUUAAAUUGGAAGGUUUUUUCAGAUGCAGAUUUAGCAGGUGACAAAGAAGAAGGAAAAGCACGAGUGGCACAUGUCAACUACAAGGAAAAUCUCUAAUUUCCUGGAACAGUAAAAAGCAAUCAUCAGUCCCAUUAUCAACUACUGAAGCUGAGUAUAUUACUGUAUGACAGUGUUGUGCACAAUUGCCUUGGAUGUCACAUCAAUUGGGUGACUAUGAUCUUACAUUCAAACCUAUACAAAUUUUUUGUGAUAAUUCUAGUGCCAUUUGUCUUUCGAAAAAUCAUGUGCAUCACUAUAGGGCUAAACAUAUAGAUAUUAAACAUCAUUUUAUUAUAUACCAUGUUCUUUAAGGUGAUAUAGAGUUAACCUUUGUUGGAACAUCGGACUAGGUCUAAGCAUAUAGAUAUUAAACAUCAUUUUAUUAGAGACCAUGUUAUUAAACCUUUGUUGGCACUUCGGAUCAACUAGCUGAUAUUUUUACUAAACAUUUAUUGGAGGAAAGAUUUUGUGCUCUAAGGAACUACUUGGCAUUGUCUGUCUCUCAACUAACUCGUAGGGUCAAAGUGUAACUUUUUUAAAAAUUCUUGUCAUUACUGUCUUCAUUAAUUACGCCGUCAUUCUUUCCCUCUCUUCCUUUUCUAAUUUCACAUCAGUUGCAGCAAAGUUGAAAAGCCAAUCAACGCGUAGGUCUAACUGACAACUUUUCCUUUUCCACUCAACCGUCAAAUCCCCCUUCCUACUAAGUCCUUAUCACCCCUUUCCCUUUCAUCCUUUCCUCCAAAACAUUUCUCUUCCUGUUCAGAAUCCUCGUCUCUUCCAUGGCCAAAACUCCCAAAAACCCCUCUGCUUACACAAGAAAGAGCACCCGUUCCAAAUCAAUACCCACAUCUGCUCUGCCUGAGCAGGUAUUCCUAGGGUCCGACAGGUCUGAGGAAUGUGCCUCUUAUCAAGGUGCAUAUUCCGAGCACUUUCUGCUUCUUGGUGAAAACGCCGCUGGUAAACGACCUAUGGAUGAAGCCCCUAUCUCCUCUCCCAAGAAACCAAAUUUUUGUUUUUCUGUCUCUCUCGAAUCUGACCUCAAUUUCUGGGACAUCCCAACAUAGAUUUCUUUAUUUACCUCAAAGACAAACCUAUUGCCAAUGGUCGUGUGGUAGAUCUAGAUGGUAUGGACUCCCUCAACUGUAAGGUAAAAGAACUUUUCGUUCAUCAGGAGUGGGACAAAUUUCUCUCUAUCUCUCUGCCUAAUGUGUACGAACCUCUAUUCCGUAUGUUCUAUGCAAAUCUUCGCUCUAGCAAGUCUGAUAGGCUCAAAACCCUUGUCCUUGGCAAAUGCAUUGUUCUUGACUGCAACCUAUUUGAUUCCAUCUUUCUUUGUCGCUGUUCUGGUUUUCCAAUGGUUUUUAAAAAUGUGUGGCCGGAAGAUUUCGAAAUCUCCUUUGAUCAGACCAAACAAAUCAUUGCAUAAAACCUCUCUGCCAACCUUCCACAUCAAUUAGAACCCAGUGAUGAUAUCUUUGAAACUAGAGUUAUUUCUCACAUUGUUGCAACCACUCUCAUUCCCAGAACUGGCUCCUUUUCAACACUCUCUCAAAGGAACACCUUCUUCGUCUACUGCCUUAUCUCUAAGCUCAAAAUCAACGUGUCCUCCUGUGUUAUCAACUUUAUGAUUGAGAGUGUUGAAGACCCCACUAGCCUUACUUAUGGUAUGACUAUCACCCACAUUCUAAAAGCCCACCAAAUUUCUCUUUCAGACUACCCCUUUGUUCCUGUGUCUAAUUGCUACAAUUCCAGGGACUUCUCUAGCAUGGGAUAUGUACUAAUAAAAGGGGUCUGGGUCAAGAAGGGAGAAAAUGAGGCAAAACCCACUCCUGAAGGAAUCAAGCCAUCUUUGGUUACUCCACCUCCGUCUAUUUCCUCAGAUCUCAAUGACAAGCUGCGUUCUGUGGAGUCUCAACUCUCCGACAUCAAGUCGACUGUGGAUGUCAUUCAUGCUAUCUCCAAGGAAACAGGGUCUGAUGUUUCAAAAAUCAGGGUGGAUGUGCAAAGAGUGCGAGAGAAUGCGAUCAAGGCAUUUAAAGAGGUGCAUGACAUGUUAGAUUGAAUGCAGGUUGUUGCCAACACCAGGUUUGGCCAGUUUAAGGACGCUAUCUGCAACACUCUUACAUAUUUUUUGCGUCGUGAAUGAUUGUGGCUUUCAGACAUUUUUAUGUUGUUUUUAACUUUUUGAUUGUGAUUGGGCUUUGCCCGUGGAUGAUCUUUUUGUGGAUUAUGCUUUUGCUGCUCCCACUUUUGCUGAUGUCAAAAAAGGGGAGAAAUAUAUAUGCUGUCUUAGCUAUGCAGGAUUACUCGAUGUGACUUCUAUGUGCCGAUGCUAUGGCAUAGUUAUUAUUAUAUCUGCAGAGGACAAGUUGACUAUUUGUCAAGUCGACUUCAUCAUGUACUUGUAUAUCUGUUAGAUAAUCCUUUACAGGUCCCAGUCGACUGCAUCUAAUGAGGGGGAGAUGUCACACCUCCUUUUUCACUAUACACCCCUACGAAAGGAGCGUAAAGGAGUAUUUCCACUUAAAGGAUAAUCGGAACGAGAUUUGGUUAUUAUUUAUUCAGAGUCGUCACUUGGCAGAUUUAUGGUGUCCCGAGACACUGAUUUGAAUCCCGAACAGAGGAAGAUUAUGACUCCGUUACAGUCUGCGAAUCAGAAAUCCGAGUAAGGAAUUCUAUUAAGCCGGGAGAAGGUGUUAGGCAUUCCAAGAUUCCGUGGUUCUAGCACGGUCGCUUAACUGUUAUAUUUGAUUUUAUCUGAUUUUAAUACAUGCUAACUUAUGUGUCCUUUUAUUUAUAUAACGCUUUUACCAUUAUUUAUUUUAAAAGACUUGCGACGUUGUGAAAACAUAUUUCUGAUCACGUCACCACCAGUGUACACGUGAUCGUCGACACGUUGCGACUUCGUCGAGAUUUGGAUUUGGGGUUUCAUCAAUGCACACCCGAGUUUAGGAAGGUACUUUAAUUAAAACGCGUCUAAAGAUUCUAUCGCACUAUUAUCUUUUGGGAGGAUCGUGAAAUUCGCUAAACACCCUUCCCGAUUCUCUUAGUAUUUUUAAAACUUUAUUAAGGGCCCCACAAUUUGUAUUUUUGUUGGCGAGGCUCGUCUCAUUUUAUUUUAAAAGAAAACCGAAAAGCAACUAUGGUUUUUUAUUUUUAUUUAUCUUUAAUAAAGAAAAGAAGCCCUAAAUAAUGAGGGUUGCCUACGUAUCUCACCGCCUAUGAGAAUCAGACGAUGCACAGUUCGGGCAGAUUAACCAAACCAUUUAAAACAUGACUUUUUUUCAUUUUCUCUUUUGGAAUUCCAUAAGCAAAUAAUAAAAUUAAAAAAAACUACUUUUAGAACAAGACACUUUUUCUUUUCUUCUUUUUCAACAAUAAAACAACCUAUUUUUCCAACAUCCUAUUUUUCAAAUUAAAAUAAAAGACUCUUUAUUUCCCCAGUAAGAUAACCUAUUUUUCCGGACUAAAAAUAAAAAGCUCUUCUUUUUCCUUCUUUUUCAUCAAAUAAUAAAACAAAUAAACUAUUUUGAAAUAACAAUCAAAACUCUUUUUUUUUCUUUUCAUUUUUCAUGGUAAACAAACUAUAUUUCCUUUUCCUAUUUUUGAAAACAAGACAAAAUAACGACUCUUUUUUCUUUCAAAUUUUUCAUGGCAAAACAAAUUAUUUUUCCUUUUAUAUUUUUGAACACAAAAAAAAAAUAACGAUUUUUUUCAUUUUCAACAACCUAUUUUUCUCAAUUAAAAAUAAAAACUCUUUUUUUUUCAUUUUUUAGUAACACAACCUAUUUCCGAAAAAGAAUAACGUCUCUGUUUUCUUUUUCAAUAAAACACCCUAUAUUUUCAUUGGCAAAUAAACUAUUUUGAAACAAUAAGAACAAAAAUCAAGACUUUUUUUCUUUUCUCAUGACAAAACAAACUAUUCUUCAUUUUCUGUUUUUUGCAAACAGGACAAACUAAAAAAAAAAAUGACGGGCUCUAUUUGAAUAUAACAACUAUAUAAACAUUUUUAUAUUUUUUCAAAAUUUUGGCAGAGUUUCGACAUUACUUGGACAUCGAUUUUUCCAAAACAAUCAAUUAAUUCCCUAACCGCUAUUUUUCUCUUUUUCUUUUCCUCAAUUUCACAAAAUUUCCGAGAUUCAAAAGACAGUCAGCAUCCGGGUUCGAACAAAUAAAUGCACAGAAUAAGUAGGAUGCACCAGGAUGGUCUUUUUAGUUGAGGUAGCUAGCCUUAGACGGAUCAAAGCCCUGUGUUGAGUCCCCUAAGUCAGAUGCAGCAUGAUGCAAAUAAGCGUUCGUACUAAGGAUCCGGCAUGAAGUCAAGUUAUUCUAUGUUCAAAACCUGGUUCGAUGUUCUAGACUGUGUACCCGAGCGGACAACCCGAGUCGAGGAGAGGGCAACUUACCAGGAACCAAAAGUCCAUCCGACAUCGUGACUUAUCUGAGCCACUUUCUUAUUUCAGGGUAUAAAACUAGCAGAAUAGGGAGUCUCAACCAGUAAGCACAUCCCCGGAGGUAAAGAGAGGAGGGUGUCGGCACAAUUUAUAUACGGUUCAGAUAAUAUUAAAGCGGCAACAUUUAGCACAUUCAUCAUGAAACAUGUGGGAAAAUGAGGUCAAAUACAACAAUUUUUCUAAGCUCGAGUUCUUAACCCUGAACAAAAUAUUCUGGGUUCUCAUCCCCAGCAGAGUCGCCAGAGUUGUCACACCUCCUUUUUCACUAUACACCCCUGCGAAAAGGGCGUAAAUGAGUAUUUCCACUUAAAAGACAAUCGAACGGGAUUUGGUUAUUAUUUAUUCAGAGUCGCCACUUGAGAGAUUUAUGGUAUCCCAAGUCACUGAUUUGAAUCCCGAACCGAGGAAGAUUAUGACUCUGUUACAGUCUGCGAACCAGAAAUCCGAGUAAAAAAUUCUGUUAACCCGGGAGAAUGUGUUAGGAAUUCCCGGGUUCCGUGGUUCUAGCACGGUCACUUAACUCUUGUGUUUAAAUCCGAGUAAGGAAUUCUAUUAACCCAAGAGAAAGUGUUAGGCAUUUCCAAAUUCUGGGGUUCUAGCACGGUCGUUAAGUGUUAUAUAUGAUUUUAUCUGAUUUUAAUACAUGCUAGCUUAUGUGCCCUUUUUUUUUGUAUACCGCUUUUACCAUUAUUUAUUUUAAAAGACUUGCGACGUCGUGAAACAUAUUUCUAAUCACGUCACCACCAGUGUACACGUGAUCGUCGACACGUUUUGACCUCGUCGAGAUUUGGAUUUGGGUUGCAUCAAUGCACACCCGAGUUUAGGAAGGUACUUUAAUUAAAACGCGUCGAAAGAUUCUAUCGCAUUAUUAUCUUUUGGGAGGAUCGUGAAAUUCGCUAAACGGCCCUUCCCGAUUCUGUAAGUAUUUUUAAAACUUUAUUGAGGACCCCGCAAUUUGUAUUUUUUUUGGCGAGGCUCGUCUCAUUUUAUUUUAAAAGCAAACCUAAAAACAACUAUGAUUUUUUAUUUUUAUUUGUCUUUAAUAAUAACGAAAAGAAGCCCUAACUAAUUAUUUUGUUUAAGAGUUACUACGUCUAGGUCCACAACUCAAACAGCCCGCGUGAGGAUCAUUGCCUUUUGGAAGAAAAAUGAAGUACCAAAUCUAAAUUUCAUAUUCAUCUCUAUGACCUAUUCAGACAACUAACAAUUUAACAAAAUAAAGGUCAACUAAAAAAAGUGAAAAUCGGGUUUCGAAAAACGAUCUCAAGAUAACCAGUACAUUAAAAUAUUCACACGUCAAUGAAAAAUGAGAUCUGAAAUUACAAAUGGACAAAGUUGGAAUAUAACUUUAAAUAAAGCUAGGAAAUCUGAAACAUGGACCACAAUUAAACUAUUGGAAUAAGAAAAAACGGCACUAACUCCCAUUUUAAUAUAGAAAACCAAAAGCAACAUUUUAGCAAUUUUAAAAUCAAUUCAAUGCAUUCCAUGGAUUAAUGAAGCACAUAUUUGAAAGCUUAAAGGAACAGAGGUUAUAAACAUCACCUCAGCAAAACUGGAAGCAAACAAAUACCCGAGGACAAGAAGAUCAACACGAAAUAACAGUAAUCAAAAAGAAGAACGGACCACACCCCUUGAAAAUAUUCAAUAAAAUCAGAAAAACAACACACAGCAACAGCAUUACGUCUUCUACAGAUUUGCCAAACUCGGCACUAGCGUAAUGGAGCGGAAAUGAUCAGCAAGGAACUAGCAAAUCAUACGACAAAUUUAAACAAAUCCGAUGCAGUAUUAUACUCAAUAACAUGAUGAAACAGAAGCUGACCUCACAUGGAAAAUAAAAGGAAUGAAUCAGACGAUCUCGGGACGGAACUCGAACCGGAAACAAGCGACAUUACCUCGACAAAUCGACGACCUCAAAUGACGACGAAUGAGAACAUCGUACGGAAAAUGAAGCGCUUCGUCGGAGUCUCAACGAAACUCG